RNAcentral lists this non-coding RNA (64 nucleotides) under Chimaeribacter arupi. The record is from RNAcentral. Lineage: Bacteria; Pseudomonadati; Pseudomonadota; Gammaproteobacteria; Enterobacterales; Yersiniaceae.
AAGGCACGACAUUGCUCACAUUGCUUCCAGUAUUUUUCGCCAGCCAUCGGGCUGGCGUUUUUUU